Molecule: transfer RNA, 72 nt
Filed under: Gymnothorax flavimarginatus (yellow-edged moray)
Lineage: Eukaryota; Metazoa; Chordata; Actinopteri; Anguilliformes; Muraenidae
Description: tRNA-Thr
Rfam family: tRNA
About the family: Transfer RNA (tRNA) molecules are approximately 80 nucleotides in length. Their secondary structure includes four short double-helical elements and three loops (D, anti-codon, and T loops).
Source: RNAcentral
GCCCUAGUAGCUUAAGUUCAAAGCCCCGGCCUUGUAAACCGGAGAAUGGAGAUUAAAGUUCUUCCUAGCGCA